Molecule: long non-coding RNA, 634 nt
Filed under: Heterocephalus glaber (naked mole-rat)
Lineage: Eukaryota; Metazoa; Chordata; Mammalia; Rodentia; Bathyergidae
Description: lncRNA (ENSHGLG00100046462.1)
Source: RNAcentral
CCCCCAAGCUCCUCUGAAACCUGUCGCCCCCAGCUUUCCCCAACAUAACCAGCAGGUGCCGUGCCCACUCGGACUCCAUAGAAGCUCCAUAGGGCAAGGCGAGGCCCCUGGUCCCAGAACAGUAGGCCAAGAGUAAUGCUACACAUCUGGAGGAUCUGAGAGGGGACACAGAGGGUCCUCACCGAAAUGGCCUGACCCAUUCUUGAGAAAAGCACACCAUUCCCUGCCUUCAACAGCAAUCGUUCACCAGGGACUGGAACAAAACACAGCCCACCAGAAGCUGUUACUGGACACCACUGAUAGACACGUGGUAGCUAACCAAGAGCUGCUGACCGGCUGAAUCCCAUGAGCACAAUGCAGUUAAUGGUCAGACUUCCUGAUUCGGGGGGCAACAGGUGUGAUCCUGGACCACAGAGCAUCCAUGUCCAAGGGAAGGACGGGGACAGGAUCAACACCUGAGAAGGAGGCCACCUUCACCCCACACCAUCCUCCAAUUACACCACGGGAUGCCAGUGGUUUUCAGACGAUCUCAGAUUCUGAAGAAAUCCUGGGCCUCCAUGAGAGAAGUAUAUUGGUGAAACAGUAGAGGAUAAACUUAGUGCAGAUGACUUCAGACCCUCAGCUACAAAUUUAG